This 468-nucleotide ribosomal RNA is filed under the name uncultured bacterium. Its description in RNAcentral is "partial 16S ribosomal RNA". It matches the Rfam family "Bacterial small subunit ribosomal RNA", at positions 28 to 507 of the family's 1533-position model. The record is from RNAcentral.
GACGAACGCUGGCGGUGUGCCUAACACAUGCAAGUCGAACGGAAAGGCCCUGCUUUUGUGGGGUGCUCGAGUGGCGAACGGGUGAGUAACACGUGAGUAACCUGCCCUUGACUUUGGGAUAACUUCAGGAAACUGGGGUUACUACCGGAUAGGAGCUCCUGCUGCAUGGUGGGGGUGGGAAAGUUUCGGCGGUUGGGGAUGGACUCGCGGCUGACCAGCUUGUUGGUGGGGGAGUGGCUUACCAAGCCUUUGACGGGUAGCCGGCCUGAGAGGGGGACCGGGCACAAGAGGACUGAGAUACGGCCCAGAGUCGUACGGGAGACAGCAGUGGGGAGUAUGGCACAAUCAGCGGAAGCCUGAUGCAGCAACGCCGCGUGCGGGAUGACGGCCUGCGGGUUGUAAACCGCAUUCGCCUGUGACGAAGCGUGAGUGACGGUAAUGGAUGAAGAAGCACCGGCUAACUACGUG